UCGCCUGCCCGGUGAAAUUUUUUAAACGGCCGCGGUAUCUUGACCGUGCAAAGGUAGCAUAAUCAAUUGUUUUAUAAUUGAAGACUAGAAUGAAUGGUUGGAUGAAAUAAAGGCUGUCUUGCUUAUAUUUAUUAGAAAUUGGCUUUUAAAUGAAGAGAUUUAAAUGUGAUUGAUAGACAAGAAGACCCUAUUGAGCUUAAAAUAAUUUUAAAGGUAUAUUUUAUUUGUUAGAUAUAAGAUUUAAUUUUUUUUUGGUUGGGGCGACUGAGGAGUAGGGAGAGCUUCCUUUAGUGGUGGGAGAUUGUUGAAUUUUGAUCCAAUAUAAUUGAUUGAAAGAGAUAGUUACCGUAGGGAUAACAGCAUAAUCUUCUCUGAGAGCUCAUAUCGAAGAGAGGGGUUGUGACCUCGAUGUUGGACUAAAAUAUCCUAUAAAUGCAGUUGUUUAUGAGGGUUGGUCUGUUCG
This 463-nucleotide ribosomal RNA is filed under the name Filopaludina bengalensis. Its description in RNAcentral is "partial large subunit ribosomal RNA". It matches the Rfam family "Bacterial large subunit ribosomal RNA", at positions 1854 to 2583 of the family's 2925-position model. The record is from RNAcentral. Lineage: Eukaryota; Metazoa; Mollusca; Gastropoda; Architaenioglossa; Viviparidae.